This 444-nucleotide ribosomal RNA is filed under the name uncultured bacterium. RNAcentral's name for it is "partial 16S ribosomal RNA". It matches the Rfam family "Bacterial small subunit ribosomal RNA", at positions 354 to 796 of the family's 1533-position model. The record is from RNAcentral.
GUAGGGAAUAUUGGGCAAUGGUCGGAAGACUGACCCAGCCAUGCCGCGUGCAGGAAGAUGGCCCUCUGGGUUGUAAACUGCUUUUAUCUGGGAAGAAAAAGGCCAUGCGUGGCAAAUUGCCGGUACCAGAUGAAUAAGCACCGGCUAACUCCGUGCCAGCAGCCGCGGUAAUACGGAGGGUGCGAGCGUUGUCCGGAUUUAUUGGGUUUAAAGGGUGCGUAGGCGGCUGAUUAAGUCAGCGGUGAAAGACUUCGGCUUAACCGGAGCAGUGCCGUUGAUACUGGUUGGCUUGAGUGUCGGAGGGGUACAUGGAAUUGAUGGUGUAGCGGUGAAAUGCAUAGAUACCAUCAGGAACACCGAUAGCGAAGGCAUUGUACUGGCCGACAACUGACGCUGAUGCACGAAAGUGUGGGGAUCGAACAGGAUUAGAAACCCCUGUAGUCC